CCCAUUGCAGAAACAAAACCUCCCUCGCUAUAUAUACAAAUUCACACUCAAUUUUCUCUUCGCUUGUCACCGGCGACAUUAAACAAAGGGAGCCAAAAUCUCCCUAGCAAAAUCGAAUAUGAUUAUUCCAGUCCGUUGCUUCAGGGAAGGUUAUCGGAAAUAAAUGGGACAUGUACCUCGAUUUGCUUCAGGCUGACUACAGUGAAGGAGAUGCCCUUGAUUCCCUGCUGUUGGUUCGCUACUGCUGCAGAAAGAUGUUGAUGACCCACGUCGAUCUGAUUGAGAAGCUCCUGAACUAUAACAGUCUGCUACCUCUUAUGAAAGAACUGUGUUAUGUAUAUAUAUGAACUUCGCCAUGCCAUUGCUAUUGUGGUUGAUUCAGCCAUUGCUAUUGUGGUUGAUGCACAAUGAUGUGCUACUCUCUGAAUGAUGCUAACUAUUCAAACUAACCCGGUUUUCUUUAAUUGGCAGCUCUAGAGAAAUCCGAAGGCAGUUGAAGCAACAUCCGAGUUCUUAUGUGGGAGAUGUAUAUGCUUUUUUUUCUGAACCAUGUAGUACUUGACUCGAUGAAAAUACUUUUAUGUGAAUAUAUCGUUGUAUUAGGCUAUUAGCUACUGAGUGAACCGACCAAACUUGAUCUAUGCUAUUUUGCGAACGCAUUGCUUUUUUGUAUUGUGGGAUGUUAAGCAUAGUCUUAUUUGUAUUUGUAUUGCUAUUUGAUAUAUUUUGUAUUGCUACAUUUCUUAUA
Long non-coding RNA from Salvia splendens (bonfire salvia), 748 nucleotides. RefSeq lists it as uncharacterized. The record is from RefSeq and is a predicted model, not a curated record. Lineage: Eukaryota; Viridiplantae; Streptophyta; Magnoliopsida; Lamiales; Lamiaceae. The transcript is spliced from 3 exons.